Molecule: unclassified non-coding RNA, 1218 nt
Filed under: Melitaea cinxia (Glanville fritillary)
Lineage: Eukaryota; Metazoa; Arthropoda; Insecta; Lepidoptera; Nymphalidae
Description: misc RNA ENSMCXG00005021428.1
Source: RNAcentral
CAAUUAAUAUCUGAUAAACCCAAAUCAUUAUCCAUUUCGUAUUGAUUUAAAAUAAAUCAUAAUUUUAAUGAUGGCUUAGACAGCUGACUGACAUUGAUACUAGCCGUUUAUUUACUGCACCGACCACCGUGCCAUCUCCUCCAUGACAUUUCCUAGAUGACAUUUUAAUACUCGUAAUAAUAGAAGAAGAAUAAAGUAUGAAAUACAUUCAAAGGCUUAUUUUUUCCUGGACAUCUUUUCGAUAAAUCCAUUUCUGAUAUUUAUGGUUUCAAGUUAUUGAUAUUUGCAAUGAGUUUUCAAACAUUCUUCACUAAGUGAUACUAGUGAUUUAAGAACUUAGUGAUCGGGUUUUUUAUAGAUUUUGUAACAUAGCCUCACUUUUCAAUACGUCUAAUAACUCGCUCUCAGACAGCCAAAAUAUAAAGAAUUUUCAGCAAGGGAUCAAAAAGCCUAAAUGCAUUCAUAGAUACCGUUUUCAUUUAAUUACAUUUUGGUUCAAGAAUGUAUGGAAUCGUUUCCAUCGCCUUUCAAGAAAUCAUUAAAACUGUCUAUAGUAUGGUAAAUCUUGUAGUCAUCUGUAUAUAUUAUAGUACUCAAAACGCAUAGCAUAUUGUUAAAAAAAAUAGGAACAGUACGGGGUCCAUUUUAGAGCCCUGGGGAACACCGGAUGUUAUAGAAAUAAACUCUGACUCACAAACCUUGUUGAGAACUACCUUUUGAGUCCUUUUGGUUAUGUAAGACUUAAAAUAACGCCAUAAAUUACCACGAAAACCAUUGAAUGCCAGUUUUUUUAAAGUUUUUUAUGAACAAAUCUGUCAAAGGCUUUCCGAAAAUCUGAAAAAAUAUUUUCAUCAAUGCUUUUAACAACUUUUGCAACGUGGGCAUUAUCCGGCUUCAAUGAUGGUUUGGUGGGCAAGACUCGGCGCCGGGUCAUAAAACUUGAUCCACCCAAUCUUAGUUAGAAACCAAUGUUCCGAACUUCAUCUCACUGAAUAUGGCUAGCUCUGAAUGCCAUGAUAAUUCGGAGUCCCUAAAACAAUCCAUACAAUUGGCAGUGAAGAAUUUUCCCAUGGAAAGAGUGUGUGCUUCUAUUGAUAACUGAUCUCAACGUUUAAAGGACUGUAUUGCAGCCAAUGGAGGUCUCCAUCAGGUUUAUAUAUUUUUAAUGGUUUUAUAUUAAUGUAUUAAACUAUGUAACACACUGUAAUAGUAAUAAAU